UAGGGGCGUUUGGUUGGAUGUAGUUGCAGAAGCAGUGUGUAGUUGGAAAUACAUGCAGUUGCAAAUGCUGCAGUUGUAACUACACCUAGUCUGUUUGGUUUUACGUAGUUGCAACUGCUGCAGUUACAUUUCUUUCUGUUUGGUAAUAUGAAGCUGAUAGUUGUAUUUGUGAAUUUUGUUACAUUUUCAGAUAGGUGGUGAGAUUACCUUCACUAAACAUAAAAUAAUUAUAUAAGUUUAUUAAUCAUUUAAAUUUACUAUUUAUAAAAUAAAUAGUAGAUAUAUAUAAUAUUCUUCAACUUAUUAAUCGACACAUUUAAAAUUUUAAUUUAUUUAAUUUUAAUAUAUAAAUCAAACUUUAAAAUUUAAAAGAUUCUCUCAUUUUUUUAUCAAAUUUAAUAAUAUAAUUAAUUAAAACUUAUUAAAUUAACAUACACGUCACAUUCUAUAAAAAUUUUUUAAAAAACUAUAUUUAUAUUUUAAAUAAAAUAAAUUUAAAAAAUUUAAUUUUUUGCACAAAGCUUGUAUUGUCUAAAAAAUUUUAUUAGUAUGAGUUUAUUUACAAGUAUUUUUAUUUACCUAUAUACAUAUAUUAUUUAUUUAUUUAGCUAUUUAUUUAUUUAUUUAUUAUUGUUAAUUUGUGGGUGAUCCUAUCCCUCACCAACUGCUGCAGUUGGAACUACGGCCAAUUUGGAUGUAGUUCCAACUGCAGCAUUUGGACCUUCUUAUGUAGUUGGAACUGCAGCAGUUGAACUCAACUACACUAAACCAAACAAAGGAAUUGAGACUGCACGUAUUUGCAACUGCACUGCAGUUGCAAAUGCGUGCAACCAAACAGCCCCUUAAUAUAUACAAUAUUUAGUUUAUUGUUUAAAAUUUUGAUAUCAAUUGAUAGAUUUUUAUUGGAAUGUAAAAAAAACAAAACUAAAUACAUAUAUCAAUGCCCAUCAAAAUCAUAAACAAAAUAGAAUAUAACUCACAGAGCGCCAAAAAGAAAAUGUUUUUUAUCAAUCUGUGGAAACGAGAAGUCCGGUAGCGGUAUGAACAUUACCAAUCAAACUUGGGUAAUUUAGGCACUCUCCCAUAUGGUGUAGAAUAGACGAUAUUUCUUCACCAGAAUGUAAUGAGAAAGUAGCAGAGAAUAAGUACCCCUUUAUAUUGUGUCCAAAUUGAUUUUCUAUCAAAGUCUAAUUAGCAUUCUAUUUAAUUUAAAUAGAUAAAAAUAUGAUAAGAUAUAUAAUAUCAAGCAGUUUUAUAUUUAUUAGGAUUGACCUUUGUUUAUAAU
Molecule: long non-coding RNA, 1285 nt
Filed under: Ananas comosus (pineapple)
Lineage: Eukaryota; Viridiplantae; Streptophyta; Magnoliopsida; Poales; Bromeliaceae
Description: long non-coding RNA (ACOM_LNC043650)
Source: RNAcentral